GACGAACGCUGGCGGCGUGCUUAGCACAUGCAAGUCGAACGGAAAGGCCCUGCUUUUGUGGGGUGCUCGAGUGGCGAACGGGUGAGUAACACGUGAGUAACCUGCCCUUGACUUUGGGAUAACUUCAGGAAACUGGGGCUAAUACCGGAUAGGAGCUCCUGCUACAUGGUGGGGGUUGGAAAGUUUCGGCGGUUGGGGAUGGACUCGCGGCUUAUCAGCUUGUUGGUGGGGUAGUGGCUUACCAAGGCUUUGACGGGUAGCCGGCCUGAGAGGGUGACCGGCCACAUUGGGACUGAGAUACGGCCCAGACUCCUACGGGAGGCAGCAGUGGGGAAUAUUGCACAAUGGGCGGAAGCCUGAUGCAGCAACGCCGCGUGCGGGAUGACGGCCUUCGGGUUGUAAACCGCUUUCGCCUGUGACGAAGCGUGAGUGACGGUAAUGGGUAAAGAAGCACCGGCUAACUACGUG
RNAcentral lists this ribosomal RNA (468 nucleotides) under uncultured bacterium. RNAcentral's name for it is "partial 16S ribosomal RNA". It matches the Rfam family "Bacterial small subunit ribosomal RNA", at positions 28 to 507 of the family's 1533-position model. The record is from RNAcentral.